Long non-coding RNA from Pan troglodytes (chimpanzee), 570 nucleotides. RefSeq lists it as uncharacterized. Lineage: Eukaryota; Metazoa; Chordata; Mammalia; Primates; Hominidae. The record is from RefSeq and is a predicted model, not a curated record. The transcript is spliced from 2 exons.
CCUCCACAAAAACCCUAAAUGGAGUUCAAAGAGCUUCCAGGUUAGUGAAUGCAUCCAUAUGACAGGAGCAUGGUGCACCCCAGACUCCAAGGGGACAGAAGCUCCUGUGCUUGGGACUCUUCUCAGCCUAGCCCUAUGUACCUCUUCCUCUGGAUGUUCAUUUCUAUCCUUCAUACGUAAUAGACCCUGAAAACCCCCAAAGCAGGAGUAACAGCUAACACUUAUUGACUGGAAUCUGAGCUCACUAAGAGCCUCCAUCCUGGAGUUGCUGGCUCUGUCACCGCUGAGAUGAGUCUGCAUGUCCUGCAGUUUUGACUUCAAACCAACAUCUGUGGUCAGCUCUCCACUCCCUGCCAAUACAGCCGGCACUGUUCUGACAGCAGUCACUAAGCUUGAGGUUCAGUCGCACUGGGGGUGUGUACCGGGGGCCCUGUUGAAUGGGUUUUCUAGGAGACUCAUGGCCUAUAUUUUAACUCACACUAUCACAAAUGUGCCCUCUGAAUGUGGUGAACAUCUACCAAGCCAGUUUCACAUAAGGUCUUGGGUAAGCUCAUAAACAAUGCAAGAAUC